Molecule: long non-coding RNA, 263 nt
Filed under: Manihot esculenta (cassava)
Lineage: Eukaryota; Viridiplantae; Streptophyta; Magnoliopsida; Malpighiales; Euphorbiaceae
Description: long non-coding RNA (MESC_LNC001617)
Source: RNAcentral
GAUGAUCCUCUAGUCCUCACUAUGAUACCAUGUGACAUGAGAUGAUACGAUAUGAUAUGAUAUGAGAUGGAAAGACCAGGUGUGGCCGUAUCACCCCUGGCAGUAUGUAUAUGUGAGAGAAGACCAGGCGUGGCCGUAUCGCCCCUGGCACAGUCGGACUUGUUAUGUUAUGUUUAAGAGGAAGUCCUGAGGAGCUCCGUCGAGGGUCGGGCAUUUAUUGGAUAUGUAGAGGGCUAUUGGUGACAAUACCAUCUUAAGGUGAU